AUUGAACGCUGGCGGCAUGCCUUACACAUGCAAGUCGAACGGCAGCGGACCUUCGGGUGCCGGCGAGUGGCGAACGGGUGAGUAAUAUAUCGGAACUUACCUUUCAGUGGGGGAUAACGUAGCGAAAGUUACGCUAAUACCGCAUAUUCUGUGAGCAGGAAAGCAGGGGAUCGCAAGACCUUGCGCUGAUUGAGCGGCCGAUAUCAGAUUAGCUAGUUGGUGAGGUAAAGGCUCACCAAGGCGACGAUCUGUAGCGGGUCUGAGAGGAUGAUCCGCCACACUGGAACUGAGACACGGUCCAGACUCCUACGGGAGGCAGCAGUGGGGAAUUUUGGACAAUGGGCGCAAGCCUGAUCCAGCCAUGCCGCGUGAGUGAAGAAGGCCUU
This 386-nucleotide ribosomal RNA is filed under the name uncultured bacterium. RNAcentral's name for it is "bacterial SSU rRNA". It matches the Rfam family "Bacterial small subunit ribosomal RNA", at positions 30 to 418 of the family's 1533-position model. The record is from RNAcentral.